CCUCAUUUUUCAUCAUAUACUUUUUAUCAACGCAUACUAUAUUACCAAGUGAUACAUACCAAAUAAAUUAAUCGUCAAGUCAAUACACACUUCUAAAAAAAUAGAUAUACAGUUUUCAAAAUUUGAAGUUUAUCAAUAUACAGUACAUGGUCAAAUGAUACAUACUUACCAAAUUAGUUAUCUAGCAACCUAAUAUAUAUCUUUAAGU
This 208-nucleotide long non-coding RNA is filed under the name Elaeis guineensis (African oil palm). Its description in RNAcentral is "long non-coding RNA (EGUI_LNC007063)". Lineage: Eukaryota; Viridiplantae; Streptophyta; Magnoliopsida; Arecales; Arecaceae. The record is from RNAcentral.